Molecule: ribosomal RNA, 467 nt
Filed under: uncultured bacterium
Lineage: Bacteria
Description: partial 16S ribosomal RNA
Rfam family: Bacterial small subunit ribosomal RNA
Source: RNAcentral
ACGAACGCUGGCGGCGUGCUUCACCCAUGCAAGUCGAACGGAAAGGCCCUGCUUUUGUGGGGUGCUCGAGUGGCGAACGGGUGAGUAACACGUGAGUAACCUGCCCUUGACUUUGGGAUAACUUCAGGAAACUGGGGCUAAUACCGGAUAGGAGCUCCUGCUGCAUGGUGGGGGUUGGAAAGUUUCGGCGGUUGGGGAUGGACUCGCGGCUUAUCAGCUUGUUGGUGGGGUAGUGGCUUACCAAGGCUUUGACGGGUAGCCGGCCUGAGAGGGUGACCGGCCACAUUGGGACUGAGAUACGGCCCAGACUCCUACGGAAGGCAGCAGUGGGGAAUAUUGCACAAUGGGCGGAAGCCUGAUGCAGCAACGCCGCGUGCGGGAUGACGGCCUUCGGGUUGUAAACCGCUUUCGCCUGUGACGAAGCGUGAGUGACGGUAAUGGGUAAAGAAGCACCGGCUAACUACGUG